CUCGCCCCUCCAAACCAUCGCAACGCCAUUUGACCCCCACUGAUCGAAAGCCCCUAAAGUGACGCUCCUUGUCCCUUCACUCAUGUUUCUCGGUUUAGAUUUCCUCAAACCCAAACCAAAACCUUCGAAAAAUCCAAAAAAAAAAUGGAAUAAACAGAAACUUGAUCCACCGUCGUCUGUCCUCAUAUCAGUCUCGUUUUCCAGUAUGAAGUUCUUCACCAUCCAAUGAAGCUUUUCACCGUUGGGAUCGUCAAAAUGGACAUCUCAAACCCCUUGGACCGGUCAAAUCCAAACAGGUUGUGUUCUCACCUUUACUUUUUUUUAUUUAUUUAGUGUAUAACUCUUCAUUUUGUUCUUGAUGUUUCAGCCAUAACCCUCUGCUUCUUGAUUGUCAUUCUUCAUUCCUUUCCCCUUAUCUUUUGCUUUGAGUUUGUCUUCCAUUGCCUUAAUAAAUCCGACUUCUUGAUUUAUAUUGUUAGGGCUUGCUUUCGUGCUGUGAAACUAUGCCAUUGUGGAAGGUCACGAAGUUCAAGAUGAAGAUUUGAAGAACUAGCCAUGGCCUUUUCAAGUUCAUUUUCAGAUAUUAUUGUAUUUGUUGUUGAAAAUUAUUAUAUUUGCCGUUCUUCAUUAAUUUGUAACAAAUUUAUCUUAAAAAAAACUAGUUUCUAUUAGUUUUGUCGAAACCACUUUUUUUUUUUAAAUCGAGG
This 707-nucleotide long non-coding RNA is filed under the name Gossypium raimondii (Peruvian cotton). RNAcentral describes it as "long non-coding RNA (GRAI_LNC004954)". Lineage: Eukaryota; Viridiplantae; Streptophyta; Magnoliopsida; Malvales; Malvaceae. The record is from RNAcentral.